AAAUCCCGGAUUUUUCUCACUUGCCUUGUAGAUGACGAUAGAAAUCUUAUUCUACGAAUUAGGGACACAAUUCCGUCCAUUUGCUAUUACUUUUUUAUAUUUGUAUCAACUUCAAUCUUGUUCGACGGGUUUGAAGAUUGAUCGCCAGAAACAUAAAGGUGCAUAUCUGAAAAUUUCUGUUCAUUAUAAUUCCAGUAAUUUAUGCGUUUACAUCAAUAUGUCCGAUAUGAGGUUUCAUUAGAUGCAGAAAUUUGAAUCAACUAUUUCUAAUAUUUUUAAUUUAUUAUCGAUUAAUUUUACUUUUUUGGUUAAUCAAAUUUAUUUAUUUGUGUAUUGUGAAUAGUUCUAUACUUUCUUUGAAUUUCUUGUUCACCAGAAUUCCGGCUGCUUAUGGACUUCUAUUAAUAUGUCGGUCUUGAUGUUUAUGAAAAAUUUGUAGCUAAAUUCGCAAGAUAUUGUCACAUUUAGAUGACAUAUACACAUCAUAAUAUAUUGAUUUAUUAUAUUAUUCCAAAAAUGAGAUAUGUUCAUCAAAUCAGUAAAAUAUGUUCAUCAAAUCAAUAAAAUGUGUUCAUCAUAAUUAAUAAACUAUUCAUUAAAAAAAUUGAGUUAUGUUCAGCUAGAAAAUGAGAUUUGUUCAUUAAAGUUCAAAGGAUAUAACAAUUUGGUCAUACAAAACGUAUUAAAAAUUCAUUAUACUAAACGAAAAUAUAAUUUGUUCAUAUGAAAUCAUGUAUUUACCUAUUAAACUUUGACAAUACCCAUUGAACAUCGAAAUGAAGCUUCAAUCCAUUAUAGUGAGGUUUGUAUGAACACGAGUAUCAACGUGAAUUUGUUCUUGCUUGGAUGACACUAAAUUUCGAAUAAUUUUGAAUCAGUUAGUAAUUCAUGUAAGUUCAUUACAAUUUUGAAGUUGUUCAUUAGAAUACGUUAUGUGUUCAUUAUAUCUAACUGGAUAUUUCUAUAAUAUUAGUUGACAUUUGAUCAGAAAAUAUCUUUUGUUUGUAUUAAGUAAUUGUUCUUAUGUGCCCUAUGUAACUAAUUUUAACUGUAGGGACCAAACAUUGGAACUGAAAUUGGGAGUGAUGGAUGUAACAUCGCACCAGAUGAUGUUGUAGUUGAAGGUUGUAUUAACCCAAAAUUCAACGCUUAUUUGUUGCUGCUUGGGUGAAGCUAUAAAUAAGUUUUGGGAUGUUGGUUUUGAGAUGUUUUGUUAUUUUUGGUCAGGUUUUAAUACUGAACUACUUAUUGAACAUGUGUUUUACCUGAGAUUGAUAAGACAUAUUAUAUUGUUUCUUACGUCAUCAAACAUACCCAUAAAUUUCUUAUGAAUAUCAUUGAAAUUUUUAUGA
This 1352-nucleotide long non-coding RNA is filed under the name Salvia miltiorrhiza (redroot sage). RNAcentral's name for it is "long non-coding RNA (SMIL_LNC006707)". Lineage: Eukaryota; Viridiplantae; Streptophyta; Magnoliopsida; Lamiales; Lamiaceae. The record is from RNAcentral.